AGCUCUGGCCGAACUUUUUCUAUCAACGUCGUCUCAUUUCGUUGCCUCCGCGAAAAUAACGAUUUUCUGGUGAAAUUUUGUGUGUUUGUGCGCGAAAAAUACUCGCAAACUUCACAAAAUCAAAUGUAAUUAUUCUUUUCAAUCAGUGCAAGCGCAUACAAACAGUAGAAGUAGGAAUCCGAGUUAUAAAAAUAAGGUAUAUCCUUAUAAGCUUAUUAAGUAUAUUGUAUAGUGAA
This is a long non-coding RNA of Rhagoletis zephyria (snowberry fruit fly), 236 nucleotides long. RefSeq lists it as uncharacterized. NCBI's taxonomy places the organism in Eukaryota, Metazoa, Arthropoda, Insecta, Diptera, Tephritidae. The record is from RefSeq and is a predicted model, not a curated record.